This 750-nucleotide ribosomal RNA is filed under the name Halorubrum sp. S26-1. RNAcentral describes it as "bacterial SSU rRNA". It matches the Rfam family "Archaeal small subunit ribosomal RNA", at positions 64 to 814 of the family's 1478-position model. Lineage: Archaea; Methanobacteriati; Methanobacteriota; Halobacteria; Halobacteriales; Haloferacaceae. The record is from RNAcentral.
GAGUUCAGACUCGUGGCGAAUAGCUCAGUAACACGUGGCCAAACUACCCUUCGGAACACAAUACCCUCGGGAAACUGAGGCUAAUAGUGUAUACCACAGUCCACCUGGAAUGAGGACUGUGCCAAACGCUCCGGCGCCGAAGGAUGUGGCUGCGGCCGAUUAGGUAGACGGUGGGGUAACGGCCCACCGUGCCAAUAAUCGGUACGGGUCAUGAGAGUGAGAACCCGGAGACGGAAUCUGAGACAAGAUUCCGGGCCCUACGGGGCGCAGCAGGCGCGAAACCUUUACACUGCACGACAGUGCGAUAAGGGAAUCCCAAGUGCGUAGGCAUAGAGCCUACGCUUUUGUCCACCGUAGGGAGGUGGACGAAUAAGGGCUGGGCAAGACCGGUGCCAGCCGCCGCGGUAAUACCGGCAGCCCGAGUGAUGGCCGAUCUUAUUGGGCCUAAAGCGUCCGUAGCUGGCCGCACAAGUCCAUCGGAAAAUCCACCCGCUCAACGGGUGGGCGUCCGGUGGAAACUGUGUGGCUUGGGACCGGAAGGCGCGACGGGUACGUCCGGGGUAGGAGUGAAAUCCCGUAAUCCUGGACGGACCGCCGAUGGCGAAAGCACGUCGCGAGAACGGAUCCGACAGUGAGGGACGAAAGCUAGGGUCUCGAACCGGAUUAGAUACCCGGGGUAGUCCUAGCCGUAAACAAUGCCUGCUAGGUGUGGCUCCCACUACGAGUGGGUGCUGUGCCGUAGGGAAGCCG